RNAcentral lists this ribosomal RNA (350 nucleotides) under uncultured bacterium. RNAcentral describes it as "bacterial SSU rRNA". It matches the Rfam family "Bacterial small subunit ribosomal RNA", at positions 8 to 349 of the family's 1533-position model. The record is from RNAcentral.
AGAGUUUGAUCCUGGCUCAGGAUGAACGCUAGCUACAGGCUUAACACAUGCAAGUCGAGGGGCAGCAUGGUCUUAGCUUGCUAAGGCCGAUGGCGACCGGCGCACGGGUGAGUAACGCGUAUCCAACCUGCCUUACACUCUUGGACAGCCUUCUGAAAGGGAGAUUAAUACAAGAUGUUAUCAUGAGUAAGCAUUUUCGCAUGAUUAAAGGUUACCGGUGUAAGAUGGGGAUGCGUUCCAUUAGAUAGGUAGGCGGGUAACGGCCACCUAGUCUUCGAUGGAUAGGGGUUCUGAGAGGAACGGUCCCCCANAUUGGAACUGAGACACGGUCCAAACUCCGUACGGGAGCA